RNAcentral lists this ribosomal RNA (463 nucleotides) under Vreelandella stevensii. RNAcentral describes it as "partial 16S ribosomal RNA". It matches the Rfam family "Bacterial small subunit ribosomal RNA", at positions 338 to 795 of the family's 1533-position model. Lineage: Bacteria; Pseudomonadati; Pseudomonadota; Gammaproteobacteria; Oceanospirillales; Halomonadaceae. The record is from RNAcentral.
CCUACGGAGGCUGCAGUGGGGAAUAUUGGACAAUGGGCGAAAGCCUGAUCCAGCCAUGCCGCGUGUGUGAAGAAGGCCUUCGGGUUGUAAAGCACUUUCAGUGGGGAAGAAAGCCUUGGGGCUAAUACCCUCGAGGAAGGACAUCACCCACAGAAGAAGCACCGGCUAACUCCGUGCCAGCAGCCGCGGUAAUACGGAGGGUGCGAGCGUUAAUCGGAAUUACUGGGCGUAAAGCGCGCGUAGGCGGUCUGAUAAGCCGGUUGUGAAAGCCCCGGGCUCAACCUGGGAACGGCAUCCGGAACUGUCAGGCUAGAGUGCAGGAGAGGAAGGUGGAAUUCCCGGUGUAGCGGUGAAAUGGGUAGAGAUCGGGAGGAAUACCAGUGGCGAAGGCGGCCUUCUGGACUGACACUGACGCUGAGGUGCGAAAGCGUGGGUAGCAAACAGGAUUAAUACCCCGGUAGUC